This 87-nucleotide transfer RNA is filed under the name Candidatus Negativibacillus faecipullorum. Its description in RNAcentral is "tRNA-Leu". It matches the Rfam family "tRNA". Rfam says of the family: Transfer RNA (tRNA) molecules are approximately 80 nucleotides in length. Their secondary structure includes four short double-helical elements and three loops (D, anti-codon, and T loops). RNAcentral also lists the same sequence under 2 other names. Lineage: Bacteria; Bacillati; Bacillota. The record is from RNAcentral.
GCCGCUGUGGUGGAAUCGGCAGACACAAGGGACUUAAAAUCCCUGGCUGGCAACAGUGUGCGGGUUCAAGUCCCGCCAGCGGCACCA